UAUAGUUUAGUGUAGUGGCACGCCGGCCUUUGAUGCCUCAGGACUAUUUGCAGCAAUAGAACUAUUU
This 67-nucleotide transfer RNA is filed under the name Antrokoreana gracilipes. RNAcentral's name for it is "tRNA-Gly". Lineage: Eukaryota; Metazoa; Arthropoda; Diplopoda; Julida; Nemasomatidae. The record is from RNAcentral.